RNAcentral lists this non-coding RNA (78 nucleotides) under marine eukaryotic metagenome. Its description in RNAcentral is "Cyclic di-GMP-I riboswitch". It matches the Rfam family "c-di-GMP-I riboswitch aptamer". From Rfam's summary of the family: GEMM was predicted in a large-scale screen for bacterial structured RNA regulatory elements. Genes associated with GEMM are involved in a diverse array of functions, including chemotaxis regulation, signal transduction, secretion and chitin. The record is from RNAcentral.
ACGAUAAAGGCAAACCCAUCGCGAGGUGGGGGCGCAAAGCUAGGGGUCUUCCCCCGGGGAAGACAGCCCGGCCGCCGA